Non-coding RNA from Rhopilema esculentum, 2711 nucleotides. The record is from RefSeq and is a predicted model, not a curated record. NCBI's taxonomy places the organism in Eukaryota, Metazoa, Cnidaria, Scyphozoa, Rhizostomeae, Rhizostomatidae.
AUUUUAGCAUAUUUGGUCAGUGGCCAAGAGUGAAUAACUCCUGCACGUGCAUGGGAAAUUCUUGAAAAACCACCGCGUUUGCAUCAAGAUCCUUAAGUGGAACUUCUAUAAAUCUAUCAGGGGCUCUUUCCAAUGGGAUGGCAUCUUCGACGAUUUGACAACAGACAGGGCAAUAACUGGAGCAUUCUGUUGAAUCACCAGCGAAGCUUAUGUAUUUUUUCCUGCUUGACCCGUUCAACACAUUGCUGAAAAUACUUCUAUAGGUGGGCAAUACCAGCAAACAGGAGAGGUUUUAUACAAUCAGACCUCAUUUACCUUUUUUUGUCCUUGCUCCAUACAGGAUCCGAGGGUGCACUUGAAUUUACAAAUCCACACACUUAAGACACGCCUUAGAAAGAUUUUUGGCCAAAAAGGGAAACAUACUGAAAAAGCGAAAACACCAGAAUAAUAGCAGACUAAUAUCUCUGUAGCGAGAUACAAAAACUUUACAAUGUGUAAUAUAACAAACAAUACUGUCAAUUGGAAUGAUUUGAAACUUAACUCACUUCAGAAAAACAAAGGCUUAAACUUGGUAGUCACGCCCACAAAUGUGAAGAUAUACACAACAAUACAAUCGUUUGCUGAAUUCAAAAGAAAAAUGAUCCUACAAGUCCACUCCAUAGAUAGCAAAAAUGAUACAAUCGCCUCACCAUUUAGGCAGAAACCUGAACCUGAAUCUGUUUGAAACUGUGAUUUCUUCCAUCUAUGGAGUUGUAUAAAUAGACAGAUCGUUUAAACAGUCGCUUAUAGGCUGUUGCUGUUGUUUUUGUUCAAUUAUCGAUUUUGUUGCAUGUCACGUGACAGUUACAUACCAGCAUUGCAUCAGACAUUGUACUUUGUGUCAGGUGCAUGUACAUUGUGUCAGCCAUUUUUCUAUCGCUUCCCCGAUUGGCCAGGAACAUGAAAUACAUUUCUAUUAACCAUAUUUAGUAAAGAUAUAUUAUUUCCCUAAUUUUAACCUUUGCCCUUAGUUAUUCAUAUAUAUAUCGUGUAGCAUAGUUUUUAGAGACACUCGGCGAAAACUGUAGACGAAUGAAGUUGUUGUCAAAAUCAUUUGCUGUUUUAGACGAGAUGUGUCUUUAUUUGUCUGCUCAAGGUCAGAAGUUAAUUCUACUUAUUAUUUAGAAUUCAUGCCUUUAUGUUAGUUCAAACUAGUGAUUAAACAUUUGGUUACCCUGUGCGAGGAAGACAAUUGAACGAGAAAACUUUUUAAAUGCAAUAACUUUUUCAGUAUUCAAGACAUCUUAGCAGGUUAGAAAUUAUUUUUAGUCGUUUAAUGAUCAGUAUUCACGUUUUAUCAAAGAUCAAAGCCGUUUUUCUUCAAGUAGAGAGAAUUGAGAGUGAACUUUUUAUACUUGCCUUACAACGAGUAAAUUCAGUUUAUUAUGCUUGCAAAGAGUGAACUUUGUUUGUUGUGUUGCAUCAAAGUUUGUUUGAACAACCCCCAUUUAAUGGCCUCCCAAACGAAGAUGUAAACAAGUGGCUGGGAGAAUUCAAUAGACUUUCAAAAUUUUACAGUUCGUCAAAUGUUGGAGCCCAAAAUUUGUACUUUGGCAAGGACUAAACGAGCCUUUAUCAGUCUACACAGAGGAUAUAAUAAGAAAAUGCCAACGUCUUUCUUUUUCGGACAUGGAGAUGAUGAACUUAUUUAUCUAUGUUCUAAAAAACGAAAUUAAAAGUCAUGUCAUUUUGAACCAGCCUAAAACGUUUGUAGAGGCUGAUAACUUAGCCAGGCUCCAAUCAGCAGUCUCCUCCACUUCCGUAUCUGAAAACCUUUUUCCUAGUUUGAGUAACACCCUGCAGGAGCAACAAAUAAAAGAACUUGAAUGCCUCUCAAAUACAGCAAGAAAAACCUGUCAAUGCUAUUGACACUGCGUUUCAAUCCAGUUGACCUCUUUAAUAUGGUCUUCAUGUACUCUCUACCCUAUAUUGCACAAAGCAACAGAUUUUUGCUGUCAACCUUGAAUUAGAGCCAGAAGAAAUGUCUUUACCUCUGAUCUUGGACAACUGUAGGUAGAACUUGACGCGGAGCUGAGUUUUCUUGAUAAAGGUUUGACAAGUUAAAAUAAGAUUUAUAAGGACAUGGUAGAUAAAGUGAGUUCCUCAAAAGAAUAACUGUUUGCUCUUGCUUGGGACGUUUCAAGCAGCUAAUCGAAAUGAACAAGAAUUUGCAGAAAAUGCCAAAUACUGCUCUUGGAUCAUUGGCUGAAUCUGUAACAGGGCACAAUAAUAUCCUUCUAAAGCUGGCAACACUCUGUGAUGAACUUCAAAAAUCUUUCAUUGAAGCAGAGAUGCAGGUACUCAUCUAUUCAUUUGUAAGGUUUCCCCAUGAAAGAGGGACAUGAAGCCUGUGCAGUUCCUGUAAGACUGUUGCUCUUUCGUUCUAUAUGAUACCAGAAAGUUUGGGAUUUAAGAGAUGAAAGAUGCUCUUAUUGCAAGAGAUCUGAUUCUUGUCGGCUUUGUCACUGAUAGAGAGUGGAAUUCUAUGCAAACUCGAGGAAGUUAUCACCAUGUGACAGUUAAAUAAUCAAUGACGGAUGCCAAAAAGAAAACAAAUAAGGUUCACAUUAAUGAAAUAAAGCAGUUCUUAAUAUUAUCGGAGCACCAACCAUGUCUUUUACAAGACAUGGCAUUUUUAAAUAAAUUUUGCAUGAAUUGAAAGUGCAUUGAUA